This 164-nucleotide ribosomal RNA is filed under the name Solanum croatii. Its description in RNAcentral is "5.8S ribosomal RNA". It matches the Rfam family "5.8S ribosomal RNA". Rfam says of the family: 5.8S ribosomal RNA (5.8S rRNA) is a component of the large subunit of the eukaryotic ribosome. It is transcribed by RNA polymerase I as part of the 45S precursor that also contains 18S and 28S rRNA. RNAcentral also lists the same sequence under 1 other name. Lineage: Eukaryota; Viridiplantae; Streptophyta; Magnoliopsida; Solanales; Solanaceae. The record is from RNAcentral.
AAAACGACUCUCGGCAACGGAUAUCUCGGCUCUYGCAUCGAUGAAGAACGYAGCGAAAUGCGAUACUUGGUGUGAAUUGCAGAAUCCCGUGAACCAUCGAGUCUUUGAACGCAAGUUGCGCCCGAAGCCGUCAGGCCGAGGGCACGUCUGCCUGGGCGUCACGC